UCUGCUUUCCUUUGCGGCUAUUCACAAGCAUAUCCAGCGGGUGGUUCUGCACAUCGUCUCCGGCCGUGUUACGUCUGCAUUUUUCUCGCCGUUGGCUUUCAGCUGGGAGACGGAGAUUCGUUCAACUCCCUCCACUACUUCUGGCUAGUACCAUGUAUACAUUCCAGUGGUACUACGGUUGUUUACUCGUGUGGCGUAUAAGCCCUGUGGCAUUUAAGGUUCCGAAUAUCUGCUUUUGAAUAAAGCCGUGUUUUCCGCUGACGGCUAUGGUUCGUGUUCUCUCAUUGCUCCUUUCCUUAAUCCUGUUGCUACACCUUUGCACUUCCGCAAGUACAAAUUUUGUGGGCUUCCGAUGAAAUUUGCUGUCGAAUGUAUUUACUAUGCAAACCUUCGAGGUUAGGUUUAUGUUUCGGAAAACUUCCUUCGCCAGAGUUUCCAAAAAGCUUUUGUAUGUUGCUCUCCGAGUAAGACGACGCUGCAUUUCUUCCGUUCCAGGUUAUAUUUCUUAGCUGAUUUCAUUUCCUCAUCCGCAAUUUAUUUCGUCUACUCGGAGUGCCACAUUUUCCCCAAUGCUUUUGUAACUCUACGUAGUCUUCACUUUUGUCGAAGGUUGCCGUCCUAUUCUUCAAUGUAUGCUCCCAGUUUUCUGGUUCCACCUGUCGGGUCCGCAGAAUAGGUUCUCCAGGUUCAUCGUGAACUUGUGUUAACGAUUGCUUCUUAAUGAUACCACCUACUUCGCAUACUCGGGUAUAUAGUUCUCCAUUAUGCAGUACACAUGCACCGAUCGCUUUUCGCAGUAGACUUGAAAACUACGAAUGAGCCUUUCACAGAAACCGCUCCCACACGGUGUUUCGUGGCGGGAAUUUCCACUUGGUGAUAGGUCAUCAAUUGUUCAGUUGUUUAUCGACGUAAUGUUGCUGUGACCGCAUUCAAUCCCUUAUUCGUUUUCCUGAAAGUCUUGCAUUGUUGCUGAGCACAUUUAUGUUCGAGCUGAGAAACGCCGGAAAUGGUGAAGAAAACUGAUGUGAAGCGUCUCCAACAGUUCCGCAGUGUACCUCUUGUCACGGCAAAUGUGAAAGUUGCUACACAAAGUUUGGCUAUGUUUCCUUUUUUUUGUAGUUGCUCCCAGCGCACCGUUGAAACGAAGACCAGUUAUUUCAAUGUGGGCUUCGUUACUCUAUCUUCAAGAGGAAGUACUUGCUCUUACGACGAUCUGGAAUUAUAUCUCAGCCACACAACGCACUGUCGUAUUAUUUCUUUCACGUAUACGCGCCAGUGUACCGCGUACUCCACCGUGAAAUUUGUCCAUAUAGGUGCCGCACUAAUAGUCAACGGAUUUCUUCCAUUUACAUUUGAUCGGGUGCUGCUCGUCUUGUGAUACGGGCCCUACCGAAGGCGCCCUUGAAGUCUCAAUCGGUCUUUAUCUUAAUAUAUCUGGUAUUCACCUACUCCCUGCACAUUCGCUUGCUUAAUUUCUGCAAUUUUUCAAUAUACACACUUUAUUCUAGCCAAAUGAGGCAGGUGUCGGCGGUUAUUAUUUCUUCUGCUUUUAGCGGACCGUAGAACUUGUCCUCUAAUAUUAUUCGCGGAACGAAACAUUCACGUUGUUCUCCCAAUAUUCAUGUAACUGCCGAACUUGUCAACUUCAAUUCCUCGUCUUGAGAUCCUUUUCGACGCAUGUCUGACACGAGAAUCGUCUCCUUUCCUUUCAUUAUUAACCGGCAUUUUGUGACGGCUAUUUGGCCUGUGGCAACUGGGAUCCCUUCCACAAAAUUGUUCGCUACAUUUUUUCUCCGGUGACUCCAGGUUAUAUCUGCUCGAUUUUUCGCUACUAUUGACGUAUCCCCAUUCUCCUACUGAGCAAUUUUGUUCUCGUGUAGUCUGUGUUCAACGUGUGCUUCGCGCAUUUUCUGUCUCCAAUGCAGCACGAUUGUACAAGUGGUCCGAUACUUUACUGUUGCUCGCAAGUUAUAAUUUGCGAAACUGACGACGGUGUUCAUUAGAGCUACUCUGUUCUUUGCCAGGACCAGCAGUCUCCACUCUGAUAUAAACAGUACCGUGAAAGUUGCACUUGAAUACACCGCCGGGCUUGCAUCCGAGAAGUCAGUGCUUACGUUCAGUUGUCGAUGCGCUCUUGAGGCAUUUAGUCCUUUAUCUUCCUCAGUAUAUAUUUUCAUAGGUCAUUUAUCUUCGUCUGGGAGAAGGUUGUCCCAAGAUUCCGGUUUUUUCCAGUCAUUGAAUACCGAUAUUAGCUGUUGCAGUGCAGGACGUUAAAUUCCAGCCGACCGAAUAUUUUUGCCCUGGCUUGAAGUACUCUUCGCUUCGUGACCAUUUUACUCGAGUCUUCAUAUCGAUAUGAUAGAAUACCGUCGGCCGUGUCCCAGAUCAUUCCUAGAAUACUGGUCUGGCUUGAUUACGUAAGGACGGCACCUUGAUGCACGUUUAAAUUCUCAUUUCUUCACUGUUUGAUGUCCCUUUCCAAAGAUUCAUUGCAGCUCAGCGAAAUUUUUUUUCUUCUAUGUACACGCCUUUUGCCUGCUUUAUGAUGUUCCAAGCAUAACUUCAUCAACGCAAAUUUAAUUACGUUUGCUGUCAUUGCAAGACUUUCUUCCAAAAUUCAUCCACAGUGUAGGUAAAUCUGCAUUCAAAUUUCCUCCUGUCUGAAGAUAAUCAUUCAGAGCAGUCCUGAUCUUAACCACGAGGCGUCAAAUACAUUUUAUUUUCUUGCUAUUCGAUAUUCACGAAUUGCUUGAUGGCGCGAUAUGGUAGCUGUUGUUCAAAUUAUUCCGAGCACGCUCCUUCUGCCAUUCCAAGCGUGAAACAUCUCGCAUUGAACAAUUGUAUUUUUAUCUCGGUACUGAAUGUACCUUCGAGAUCGUCUUCCGAUUGCUACUGUGUUGAUUUCCACGUUAACUUGCUCUCUCCAUCCUUCUGAACAGUCCUUGUGACUACAUAGCCCACUUUAUGCAUCGUUUCUUUCUGAAGAGUUAAGCCAGUAUUUUCCGCCAUUAAAAAAGUUCGAAAUGCAAGUUUCGUCAGUUUCUGCGACGACAAGAACCAUGGCGAGUUUCGCGUUUCGCAGUUCUCUUCUACACCACAUUAGUCAGGCACAAUCCAGUCGGGAAUUUUCUAUUUUCCUUGUGUCUUCGUUUGGUCUUCUCACCGGGCUUUCCUCCUCACCUCCACUACUACUGGUUCUGCCCUCCCGUUUUCAACUGCGGUCCACAAGCGUACCCAGCGUGCUCUUGCAUGCCUCUAUGGUCUGCGCUCCAAAAGAUUACUUCGGCCACGCGCAUCACCUGUUCCAGGAGCGUCUUGUGCUGCUUCUACGUUCCCUCGCCAAUAGCGUCCUGCUGGUACACUGGACUUGCCUUCUCACCCUGCGCUACUACUGGUUCUGCACUCCUGUUUUCAACUGCAGUCCACAAGCGUACCCAGCGUGCUCUUGCACAACUCUAUGGUGUGCGCUCCAAAAGAUUACUUCGGCCACGAGCAUCACCUGUUCCAGGAGCGUCUUGUGCUGCUUCUACGUUCCCUCGACAAUGGCGUCCUGCUGGUACACUGGACUUACCUCCUCACCCUGCGCUACUACUGGUUCUGUACUCCUGUUUUCAACUGCAGUCCACAAGCGUACCCUGCGUGUUCUUGCAUGACUCUACGGUCUGCGCUCCAAAAUAUUACUUCGGCCACGAGAAUCGCCUGUUCCAGGAGCGGCUGCUACUGCUUCUACAUUCCCUCGCCAGUGGCGUCUUGCUGGUAGAGUGGACUGGUUCUGCACUCCUGUUUUAGAUUGCGGUGGGCACAUAGCACGCUCCUGCACGCACUCUCCGGUCUGCGCUCUAAAAGAGGUUACAUCCGGCACGAGCAUCGCCGUUCCAUGUGCGACUGCUAUUGCUUCUACGUUCUCCCGCCGACGGCGUCCUGCUGGCAGACUGGAUUUAGCCUGGCGCCCUUGCACUUAAUUUUGGUUUCCAGUGUUUGCUGUCGCUUGUGGCGCAAGAGAAAUGUUCCAGCACGCCCAUUUACAAGAACAUGCCUGGCCUUGCCUCACGAGCAAACACCUUCAGCCCGAUCGUCCUGCCGCGUGCUCUCUACAGCAAGCUUCCUCAUGGACUCGUGAACGCGUCGCACGCCUGUCUUGGCGGUGUCCUGCACUGUCUUGACGGCGUGUUCAUGCUCUAAAGGACUGCGUGUCGUCACCGUCCCACGACCGUCUAUCCGAUGUUCUCCAGUUCGCUGUUGCCCUUUUCCGCAGGCAUAUUUAAUAAGUUUAGUGUAGCAAGCUUUUCUGCUUUGAGAGUGGUACGUUGCUAAGCGAAUGGAUGGCGCUUCUAGAAAUUGGGUUAUUACGAAGCAGAUCAUUAAAAAGGUACUUACGUGGACACCACUCAGUCCUUAAUAAGGACUGUCAACGUUUUCAUGAGCGAAUCUGUAAAUUUUUGGUGGCGAGAGUAAUGGACGUUCAUUGACAUUGUGCACUUUUGUAGUAGUGUGUGUGUGUGCAUGUGUGCUUUUGCAUGUCACCUACUCUGUGCUUUUUUUUUCGAUCGAGAACGUAUAUGGGCUACGCUGCUAGCUGGCGCACUUCGACUUUUUAUAUUUUGGUAGCAUUUCCAGCGUCACAUUUGCUUCACUUUUCCCAGUUCAUUCCUCUUAGGAGAGAGAGAGAGAAAGAAAUAAACUUCAUUGUUAGACCAGGCUUCUUAAGCCUAAAGGUGGGCGGUUUCCUCAGUCCAGGUAGCCAUGGCUCGCUUCCGCCGCCCGAGCCUUUUUCACCAAUCGUAGCUGGCUGUCAGGGUCUUGCGUCACCAGCAGAGCCUCCCACAGGUCUUCCGAUUCUUCCUCCAUAUCCGCUUCUUCCUGCUUGUUAUCGCUUGGUGGUGAUGAUGACGGUGGUACUUCGCCGUUAUUUCUGCACUACAGCACCUUAUGGCGCAAGGUGUUGGGUGUGUCCGGCGGGCAGAGCUUGCAGUCUCGCCCGUAGGUGCAUGGAUACAUGGCGUGUAGCAGUGUUCCAUGCGGGUAGGUUCCAGCCUGGAGUCUUCUCCAAGUUACUGCUUGCUCCCUACUCAUCGUCUUAUACGCGGGUGGUAGCGACGCCUCUGCUUCCUGUAGUGCGCCGGGAUGUCAGUACUUCUUGGACAUCCGUUCAUCAUCCUCGUCGCAGUCAUUGGUCCGUGUUCUCUGCGUGUCGGAGAUGGCUCGGCGUGCAUGAUCUCGAGCCGCGGCGAGCGCCGCCUGGUUCCCCGCGAGGGAGUCGUGUCCCGGCGUCCAGAGGAUCUGUGCUGUUUCUAUUUCGGUGUUGGUCAAGACCUGAAGUGCUGCCUUUCCUAUCCUUCCGUUCACAUACCUCCUGCAUGCUUCUUGCGAGUCCGUCGACACGGUAACCAGGGUCUUCUUGCGCGUUGCGAUGGCCAGGGCUAUGCCCAGCUCUUCCGCUGUGUUCGCGUCCUUGGCACGUAUAGAUGUGGCUGUAAGUUGUUCGCCCUUCUCGUCGACCACGGUGAUUGCAAAUCGGUCGUUUGUUCUGUACGCAGCUGCGUCCGUGUAUCUCACAUUUUCUUAUUUGCUGUUUGUGCGUUCCAGUAUGUGCUUCAGCGCCUGUAUUCUCGCCUGUCUCCUUUCCUUGUCGUAGUCGGGGUGCAUGUUUCUGGGAAUGGUACUUAUGUGUAGCUUGUCCCUGAUCUCGUGUGGGAUACGCUGAGCUAGGUGCCUCUCAACCUCGACUUGGUAGCACAGAUCUUGGUGCAGGGCUCUUCCCGUUUUUGUUAGCUUUAGUCUCUCCAGUUGGUUGACGUUGUGCGCUUCCACGAGCUCUUCCCACGUGUUGUGAACUCCCAUUUUGAGUAGUUUCACUGUGGAUGUGGAAGGGGACAGGCCCAACGCAAUUUUGUAGGAUUUUCUUAUGAGUGCGUUUACUUCGUCUCGUUGACUGUUCAUGUCAACGUAUGGGGUCCCGUAGGUGACGAUACUUGUGAGCAGCGCUUGUAUUAUUCUCGUGCAGUCUUGCUCCUUGAGUCCGUGUCUUUUGCUCGUCACUCUUUUGAUAAGGUGGGUUAUUUGUUGCAUUAUUCUCUGAAUUUUUUCCAACUCUGCUGCUCCGGCCCCGUCCUUUUGAAUCGGGAGCCUGGGGAUGCGGAGCUUCGUUACCUGCGGAAUCAUGCCUCCCACCUUUACUUCCGGGUCUGGUACAUGCUGCGGUUGUCGGCCUCUUGUGCGCUUUCUUAAUACCAAGAGCUGACUUUUCUGGUGCGCACGUCAGUCCACAUGCUUCCAGGUACCUCUUCGUUGUGUCAACAGCUUCUUGCAGAGCGUCUUGCUGUUUACCUGUCGACCCUCCUGUAGUCCAGACGGUGAGGUCGUCAGCAUAUAUUGCGUGUCCAAUCCCUUCUAUUUGCUUCAGUUGUUUGGGUAGCGAGCUCAUCGCUAAAUUGAAUAGCAUCGGCGAAAUGACGGAGCCUUGUGGCGUUCCCUUUCGUGGUAUGUCGAAUUUCUCAGUAUAAGUUGUCUAUCCCCACUGUAGCUGUCCGUUCUUUUAGAAAAGCUUUGAUGUAAUCAUAUAUAUUUUUACCGUAAUUAUUUACGUUGAGGCGUUGCAGUAUGACUUCGUGUGACACGUUGUCGAAAGCCCCUUUCAUGUCAAGUGCGAGGAUGGCUCUUUUUCUGUGCGUGUCCAGUUUGUCGACGACUUUUUCUUUGAUCUGCAGUAAUACGUCAUGCGUGGACAGGUGAGCUCUAAAUCCGAACAUAUUGUUUGGGACGUGUCUGUUGUCUUCGAGAUGUUCGAUCAUGCGGUUGUGCACCAUGUGCUCUUAGUUUUCCAGCACACAACGUGAGGGAUAUAGGUCGAAGGUUCUGCACGCUGAUGGGCUUGUUGGGUUUAGGUAUCAUGGUUACCUCGGCGUUUCCAUUCCGGUGGUACUUUACUGUGUUCCCAGCACUCGUUGAUGUAUUUUAAGAGUGCGUCCACAGAGGAUCCGUCAAGGUUUCAGUGUGUCUUGUUGUUUAUUCUGUCGUACCCCGGCGCCGUGUUGCGGGUGAGCUUGCUCAAGGCCCUCUUGAUUUCUGCUUCUGUGAAGGGCCGAUCCAGUUCUAUAUUUAGGUUGCCACGAUACUCGACAAAGUGCGAAUCUACAGUUCCGCUCUGUACCGAGGAACUUCUCCUCCACUUCUUUGUCUUUCUCUUUCCCCGGGUGGUUGUGUACAAGUCUCUGCACUCUGUUUCGUGGCGUUCUUGUUCUCCUUUUUUGAUAGGAGUGUCUUGAGUACCGUCCAUGUGCGCUUGCUGCUUAAGGUCCCUUGAAGCUUGCUACAUGUUUCGCGCCAGUUCUGUUUUUCAAGUUGUUCAGAGUACUCUUGCGUUUCCUUGAUCAGUUAAGAGAUUCGAAUUUUGAGUUUCCGGUUGCAUUUGUUACGCUGCCAGAGUUUCGCGAGUCCCCUCCGUGCCUCCCACAGGUAGAGUAAGUGGGGGUCGACUACGGGGUGACUUGCGACAGCUGGAUUGUCUUCGUAUGCUUCUCGGCUCUUUCCACGACUCCUCUGAUCCAUAAUUCUAUGUCGUCUAUCGUCGCAUUAAUGGCGCUCUCGUCUUUGCGAAAGGCCUGCCAGUCGGUGAUCUUGGCUUUUCCAAUCUUCAUGGUCGCUUUGUGGUGCGGGAUGAUCGUUUGCACUAUAUGUGACGAAGAUCGGCAGGCUGAAAAGCCCCGUUGCCAUCGCGUGGCUCGUACCCAGUUCGUUCGCUGGCUGCGCCCUACCUGCUGUUGCCGCGUUGGUCGCUGCUUCUCUACGACCCGAAUAAACCCCCUUUACAAUUGGUGGAGCUGCUGGGUACAACCGGAAUUCUGGAACUUCGCAACCCGACACUGCAGCCUGUCUUCAUUAUGCCGGAAGAAGGACCACCGCAACCACAACCCGCUGCCCCGGUGACUAUACCGUGGUCUGCCCCGGCGCGUUGCGUCAACGCGACCCACCCAUCUUCAGCGGUACCGAAGACCAUGACGUAGAAGACUGGCUCGCUGACUACGACCGGGUGAGCAUCCACAACCACUGGGACGACACGAAAAAACUGAAUUACGUAUCCUUUUAUUUGAGUGGUGUCGCCAACGUGUGGCACCGCAACCAUGAACGUGAUCUCACGACGUGGGCAGCCUUCAAAACUAACGUGACGGAGGUAUUCGGGCGCCCCGCCGUCCGCGAGCUUCGCGCCGAGCAACGUUUGCGCAGUCGUGCGCAACAGUGCGGGGAGACAUUUACAAGUUAUAUAGAAGAUGUUGUCGACCUCUGCAACCGCGUUGACGUCACAAUGGCUGAUGCCGAGAAGAUCCGCCAUAUCUUAAAAGGCAUUGAAGACGACGCCUUCCAUAUGCUGUUGGCGAAAAAUCCGGCGACAGUCUCUGAACUCGUCAGUCUCUGCCAAAGCUUCGACGAAUUCCGCAAACAACGCAUAGCCACCCGCCAAUCUCCUCCUCAGGCGACUUCAAUGUCGAGCUUGGCUGUUUCCCCAGAUAACACGUCCCUACUGCUACAGAUCAAGGAGUUCGUCCGUGAAGAGGUGGCUCGUCAGCUUUCUCUGAUUUCCCGUACACACGGCCAGUCGAAUUCUCCGUUGGCGCCCGCUCUCCGAUUUGUCAUCAAGGAGCAGGUAGCCGACCACAUUCCACCUUCUCUCCAGCAGGCUCCGGUUGCCGCUCCCCUGACGUACACCGAAGUCCCUUCGAGGCCUGCACCACAGACCUACGGUCCCCUUCGCCCCGCCUUUGCGCCCGCCCGUAUCCGCUCCAGUCGGGCCACUGGUGCAGUAUGCACGACCUCAAGAUCAUUGGCGCACGGAAGACAGUCGCCCGAUUUGUUUUUAUUGUGGCCGUGCUGGACACGUAGCACGUCACUGUCGCCUCCUUACACCGAACGUCCCCAACAAUGUGCACCCAUAUGCGCCACGUUUCCAACAACGCCACAACUAUUCGGACACCUUUGAAUCUCCUCCUGUCGUCGACACCGCAUUCUCCGCCGCUCGCCGUUCACCUCCUCGACGCCGCUCGCUUUCCUCCAUGCACCGGCGUCGGAGCCCGUUGCGCCAGGAAAACUAAAUAUUGCAGAUCAGGAGGCGAGAACUGCGGUGCCAGUGAAAUGUAUAAGGCCUCACACUUCCCCGAAGAAUGUUAUUGAAGUCGCAGUAGACGGAACAUUGACGCUAGCAGCUGUCGACACCGGCGCUGCACUUUCAGCGAUAGAUGCCCGUAUUUGCCGCAAGACAGGAAAAGUGACGCCGCUUUCUGGACUGUCUCUUCGCACUGCCAACGCGCAGCACGUCUAGCCAUCCGGCGCCUGCACUGCUCGUGCCGUAAUUCAGGAGGUCCUCUAUAUCAUAGAAUUCAUCGUGGUGCCAUCAUUUUCACACGUCAUAUUAGGUUGGGACUUUCUCUCCACACAUCAUGCGAUCAUUGACUGCGCCCGCGCCGAAAUCGAGCUGUUUCAGUUUUCGAUCUAUAUUAUCACUGGCCAUAAGGGCCAUUGUCGCAAAAUCUGUUUCAGAAGACACCGUUAUACCUGCCUGGUCUUCCACUCUUGUCAGUAUCUCUUGUGACUAUGUAGAUGACGGCACAGUACUCUUGGCUCCGUCUGAACUUAGUUAGCCGCCGUUCACUACUCCUGCCGUUCGCCGUCCUCGAGUUCAAAGCUGGCGCCUCUCUCAUGUGCGUCUCAAACCCAUCGGCUGCACCAAUUACUUUACGCCGCUGUGAAAGCCUUGGCAGAGCAGAGCCACUGACCUCAUCUUCAAUAUUUGACACGAUGGACGACUCCACUUAUAUUGCUGCUCUCGAGGCAUCGCGUCCUCAGUCACUACCGCGUUCUUUUACGCCAGCUAUUGCCAGCGACCUUACGACGACGCAGCGCGACGAACUUCUUCACUUGCUCCAAGCCUUCUCUUCCUCUUUUGAUUGCCAAGCAACAUCACUCGGCCGCACAACGACUGUUUCGCACACUAUCGACACUGGGAGCCAUGCACCAAUUCGACAGCGUCCCUACCGAGUAUCGGCGACUGAAAGACGCGUUAUCAAUGACCAGGUGAACUAUAUGCUCAAUCGUGGUAUCAACCAGCCUUCUAGUAUGUAUACUUGGGCAUCACCAGUCGUCCUAGUUAAAAAACAAGACGGCACCAUGCGGUUUUGCGUCGAUUAUCGAAGGCAUAACAAGAUUACCCGAAAGGAUGUAUACCCGUUGCCACGUAUUGACGACGCACUUGACUGUUUGCAAGGGGCGGAGUUUCUUUCCUCCUUAGAUCUCCGCUCUGGCUACUGACAGGUGCCCAUGGCUGACGCUGACUGUUAUAAAACCGCGUUUGUAACACCAGAUGACUUGCAUGAAUUCACUGUGAUGCCGUUCGGUCUGUACAAUGCGCCCGCCACCUUCGAACGCAUGGACGGCAUCCCACGCGGCCUGAAGUGGCAUACUUGCCUCUGCUACCUCGACGACGUUGUCAUCUUUUCCCCUGAUUUUCCGACCCAUUUUCGGCGUUUACAUCAAGUUUUGACCUGUCUCCCGAAUGCUGGUCUCCAGCUUAACUUAGGAAAGUGCAGAUUUGCAGCUUGAAAACUGACUAUAUUAGGCCACGUUGUCUCCAAAGAAGGCAUUCUUCCUGAUCCUGAUAAACUUCACGCCGCAUCCGAAUUUCCGAAGCCCACUAACUUGAAAGCACUACGCAGCUUCAUUGGCCUAUGCUCCUAUUUUCGACGUUUCGUUCGCAAUUUCGCUACUGUGAUCGCACCACUUAACCAACUUCUCCAAGGCGACAAUGAACUUUCUGCUUGGUCGGAAGCCUCUGAUGAUGCCUUUACGACUCUUAGUCACCUACUCACGUCUCCGCCAGUCUUGCGCCAUUUUGAUCCAAGCGGACCUACAGAACUUCACACUGACGCUAGUGGUGUCGGCCUUGGUGCCGUGCUCGCACAACGCAAAAACACUAAUGCCGAAUACGUAGUCGCUUAUGCUAGUCGUGCCCUCGCGAAACCUGAGGCCAAUUACUCAGUCACAGAAAAAGAGUGCCUGGCUAUCGUGUGGGCUCUUAAAAAAAAUUCGUCCAUAUCUCUACGGUCGACGCUUGACCUGGUGACGGAUCACGCUUUUUGCUGGUUGUCCAACCUAAAAGACCCGUCGGGCGGCCUCGCUCGGUCGGCCCUCCGAAUCCACGAAUAUGAUAUCCGUGUCGUCUAUCGUUCUGGACGCACACUCUGACUCCGAUGCCCUCUCGCGCUCCCCAGUUACUUCAGACAGAACUUCUACCUACAGACAUGACAUCUCAGCACUUGACAUCCUGGAAAUGGCAUCGGAGCAACGAAAAGACCCAUGGAUCGUCGUGAUAUUCGACUUUUUGUCAAAUCAACUUGGGCACCUCGAGCGUUACGCCGACAGGCGCAGCAUUUCACAAUCCGCGACGGACUUUUAUACCGGCGCAGCUACCACAAUGACGGCCGCAAAUGGCUUAGUAGUGCCUCGCCACCUACAAGAUUUAUGCUCAGCUUUUCAUUCGGACCCGCAGUGUAAUCACCGUGGAGCGUCAAAAACCUACACACGGCUUCGCCUACGAUACUGUUGGCGAGGGAUGUACACCUUCGUCCACAAAUACGUACGCUCCUGCAUUGCCCAGCGACGCAAAUGUGUCUCGCAUCUCUCCACCGCACUUCUCCAACCACUUCCCUGCCCAGCUCAGCCAUUCGACCACGUUGGCAUUGAUAUAUACGGGCCUCUUCCAUCUACUGGCGCUGGCAACCAAUGGAUUGUUGUCGCCGUAGAUCAUUUGACACGGUAUGGUGAAACCACCGUCUUGCCUGCCGCAUCAGCAAAAGACAUCGCCUCGUUCAUUCUAAACAACUUCGUUCUCCACCGUGGCGCCCCUCGUGAACUGUUGAUCGAUCGGGGCCGCGUAUUCUUCUCGGACGUCCUGCAGUCACUCCUAUCUGAAUGCCAAAUUAUUCACCGCACUACUACUGCUCAUCAUCCACAGACCAAUGGCUUAACAAAACGAUUCAACAGAACUCUUGGUGACAUGCUAUCAAUGUAUGUUGGAUCUGACCACUCCAACUGGGACCUUGUACUUCCGUUCGUCACUUAUGCAUAUAACACUGCCUCUCAAGCCACUACCGGAUUCUCGCCAUUCUUUCUGCUUUACGGCCGCCAUCCUUCCAGCACCAUUGAUACUGUUCUCCCGUACCGGCCGGACCCUGCUGAAUGCUCACCUGUUUCUGCGAUUGCUGAGCACGCCGAGAAAUGCCGACAACUGGCCCGUUCUUUGACGUCUGCUCAACAGUGCCGCCAAAAAGAGCGCCAUGACCUCAAUCCUCCCCCUCACCCCUUCCCCGUCGACUCACUCGUGUCGCUUUGGGUCCCGCCUGUUGCUGCUCCUAGCCUUUCGUCCAAGCUCCUCCCAAAGUACCACGGGCCCUACCGCGUGGUUGCACAAACAUCACCAGUGAACUACGUGGUCGAACCCAUAUCGCCAUCUCCCAAUCUGCGUCGUCGCGGGCGAGAGACUGUGCACAUUGGCCGGCUGAAGCAGUAUUACGAUCCGCCCACCUCUUCCUAGGUCGCCAGGAUGGCUACUCUUCAAUUCCGGGGGUGAUUGUGACAAAGAUCGGCAGGCUGAAAAGCCCCUUUGCCAUCGCGUGGCUCGUACCCAGUUCGUUCGCUGGCUGCGCCCUACCUGCUGUUGCCGCAUUGGUCGCUGCUUCUCUACGACCUGAAUAAACCCCCGUUACAUCUAUAAUGGUCGCUACCCAGAUUCUCGUCCAUGCAGCUCCACUCAUACUGUUCGAGUCCUUCUACGAAUGUGAGGUCGGGGCUGGUGUUUCUAGAUACACUGUUGCCGAUGCGCGUGGGUGUGUGCGGGUCGCUGAGUAGCGUGAGGUGUUUUUGGGCUACGUUGUGUACAUCUCCUUUUUUCUUUGAGGUCGCAUAUCCCCAGGCCACAUGGGGAGCAUUAAAAUCAGACUAUCAGUCCGUUACCCUUACUCAGCUUCACUUCUCGCAUUAGCUUCUCUAGAUCCUUUAGGUGGUCCUUCGGCGGGCUGUACACGUUUAACAGAGAGGCUUUGCUGUUUUUUCUCGGGUACGAUUUCGACGAGGGUGUGUUCGAUGCGGUGUUGGAUGUCGUAUCGUUGAGCGUUGAUGGCCUUCUUGGUCAGGAUUGCUGUCCUCGUCUUACCGUCGGUGACGUGAGUGAGGUAACCACUGACCUUGAAGUCUUCAGCUUCGGUUUCUUGUAAGGCUACAAUGUCCGGGUUAAACUGCGUGCAGAAUUGUACAAGGUUGUUUCUCUUACUUCAAAUAAGAUGACAGUUCCAUUGCCAAAUUUUGAGCCAUGGGUGUUGCUUGUAGUCAUCUUUCUCUUUAUUUAGCCUCGCCAUCUUGUUCGCUUAGGCUCUGCAUGAUCUUGGCUUCUCUCGCAGGGUACUUAGGCUUCUUGCGAGUAUUAUCUUUCUUCUAGCAUGUGGAUGCGUUGACUGAAACUUUCUCCCGUUUGAGUCAUCUUGUUCUGUAGGGCCUGAAUCUGGUUGUCAAUUUCGCUCUGGAGAGAUUGGAACCGUCUGUAUCAUCUGGGUUACCGUGUUUUGCAUAACCUGUGUUACCGUGGACAUCGUGGUUUCCGUCAUGGCGGUCACGCUGGCGUUUAUGCGGUCUUCAUGUGUCUUCAGGUCGUUCUGGGUUAUCACCGCUUGGUUCGACAGUGUUGCUGGCUUUAGUUGUGUUGCUGAGGAUGUAGGGAUGAAGGUCGCGGUAGUGGUGUUUGCGAUUGCUGGCCCUUUUCUCUCCGUAGUUCUAUUUCUCGCAUGAUUGAUUCGCGCUGUUUUCAGUGCUAGCUUGCUUCUCUAGUGUCUUCUCUUGCUGUUCUAGCUCUCGCUUCAAUUCAUCGUUCUGUCUUCGAAGAAUCCAUUAUUUUCCCUCGACGUAUGAUUGUGCCCUGUGAUGACGCUGGCCCAGCUUACCUUUCGCUGGGUGUUGUCGUGUUCCACGCCCGUUGCCGGUAUCCGGGGGAUGCUCUGUUCUCUUUACCUCGAUCUCGAUCCCGACUUGGAUCACGAUCUUUUUGUCUUUUCGGUCUCAUUCGGUGACUGUGGCGAUAGUUACAUGGUCAUCAUGUGCUCGUUGUCGUUGGUAGUUACUACGCUGGCCUGGUACCAGAAUCUUGUCUCGAUCUUGACCGCUCCCUGACUCUCAACGGUGGCGGGGCCGGUUUCAGCUUCCUUCGAUAGUCUCUGCUCGCCGUUUCAUGGGGCAUUCCGCAGAGCUUACAUUUCGGCUCGCAUUGGUGGUUGUUUGGAUCAGCGUUGUGUUCUCCGCAGUUGUCAUAGUUCGUCGUUUGAAUUAGGGCAGAUGUCUUGUCUGUGUCCUAUCUCCCCGCAAGAUCUGCAGUACUGGGCUGACUUUCUGUAGGGUCUGCAGCGGGUGAGUACAUCCAACUUUAACGUAGAACGCCACAUGCGGGCCCUCGAAGGUGAUCACUGCCGACGUCGAUCUUCCCAGCAUUCUAGCGUAGAGGAUUUUGCAAUUGUUGGUCGUUGCUAGUAGAUCUACUAGCUGCUGUUCGGUGGUGCCUUCCUCUAUUUCGUGAACAACGCCACAUACAAUGCCCGGAAUUGGUUUCAGGUACGGUGUAACUUCGUAUGUUGCGUGUCCUAUUUCGAUGCUUGUUAUUUCCGCUAGUUUGAGUGCGCAGUCCUCUUCUUCGGUACUUGCCAUAAUUAAGUUUUCUUGCCACUGUGUCUGUAUCACUUUGGCGUAGAGCUCCUGGGGUGCGACUCCGCAUGCUUGGGCUAAUCCUCUUGCUGUCACUCCGCCUUUCCAGUUUCAUACUUUCACACCGGCUUUAGGUCUGCACACAAUCUUGUAAUGGUGUUCUGGUAGCGGUGGAGUCGUUGGCCAGCGAGGACGUGGCUUGCUUGCGUUGUUUUGGGCCCGUGGCUUUUGAGGAGCUUGUUGCCGUUUUCCAUCAUUCGUGUUCUGCCCUUGCUGUGUUCGUAUGAGAACUUCUGCGUAUUCGACGUUACGAUGGAUUCUUUCUGAUGUCGCGCUUGUAGCAUCACGCACGGUCCGGUCUUGCAUAGUGUUUUUCCGCUGUUGCUGUCGAACGUCGGCUCCGUGUCGUUCAUCUCUGCUUCAUUAUUUGUUACUCCUGCUAUGGAGCUCGUUCGGUCAACUUCCAUAACGCUUGGUUGCGGCUACGCUUGAAGAGAGAAAACACAUUUAAAAAGCCGUUGUCGGGUGGCCCGGCGUGCACGUGGAUCUCGAGGCGCGUGGCCCCGGGCAGCAGGAUCGGCAAUCGUGGGUAGGCUUAGCUGAGCACGGCCGUCGCCUUGAAAGUUUCAGGAAUAGUACUUGCGUGAAGAAUAAACUCGCGUCGGUGUGCGUGGUCUGUCUGAAUGGCGUUUCUCGAGAUGAGUCGAAUGCUGCGGACAGUCAGACGCUGCGAGGGGGCGAUCCGCAGUAAUUGCAAGCUGUAUUGCAAGCUGAAGUUAAGAGGUUCCUGGUUUUAUGGUUUACUAUGGUCUAUGGACAUCCGCUUUUGGAUUGGUCGAACCGCUGGUUUCUUUGGCUUUGGUCCUUGGGUUGAUCUCGGUACUCGUUUCAGCAUUCAGCGGAUUUAUUCAGGCGUCUUUCUCGUGCCAGAAACGGUCUUCACACAUUCUCGGUUCUUCCACGUCGCUGAUCACUGACUCGAAAAGAUCAACAUGCCGCUACAAAAGGACACAAUGUCAAAGAAUGGGAAAGGGGAGGGUGCUUAUUCUCGCCAAAAAACGUUUCCUGAUUUGCACAUGAUAAUGACGUCCAUCUUUAAGAGUGGUUGGUGGUGUCGCCGGGCUCACUGCUUCUAGUUUUUUGGUGUGCUUGACUAAUCAAAUGCUUUUAUGGAUCUAGAUGGCCCAACUUAUGUAUUACCUGUCGUUUGUUUAUCGGACAGGGCUACCCGCUGUCGUCGCUUGUUCACCGCGUAUACGGCGCCUUAGUUCGAAAUUUGUGUCAACUAUCACCUGCUCUGCAAGAUCGGUAGGAAUGCUAAAGCGCCAUGGUGCUCUUCUCCCGACUGUGACGUCGUUGUUACACAUUUGUGUAAUUUCGUGAUUAAAGUGCACCGCGUGA
Dermacentor albipictus is the source of this 16131-nucleotide non-coding RNA. Lineage: Eukaryota; Metazoa; Arthropoda; Arachnida; Ixodida; Ixodidae. The record is from RefSeq and is a predicted model, not a curated record.